GCCACUGUGUUUCAGGUUAUCUAUUACCUUCCCAGGCCUCUGCGUUUCAAGGCAGGGAGUAAUUUUUUAACUUUCACAUUGAUCCACACCGUCGUCCACACCAUCCCUAACCUGCCUCUCCCUGCUGGUGUGAGAUACAGCGGCCUGGAGACAGACACCCCUCCGCCUCAGAGCCGCAGGGCUUCACCCAAUUCCCCGCUUCACACAUAGGAGGGGACCCACAUAAUUCAGCCCUGGCCUGCAGCCCUACUGCCCAGCAGGGCAGGGGCAGGAGAGAGCAGCUGCUGCACCAGGCGAAAAAGGGGACGAUUUUAACAGGUCGUGUCGUGCUGAUGAAGACCGAUGUCUGGUUCUCCUGUUGGCUGUGCACCCGUGUCUGUGUUAGGGUCAAGAACUGGCACAACGGCCUACAGCUCUCGAGAGCCCACUCCCUUCACUGCCAAACCGAAAACAGCUUUUCUUCCUGAAAGAGAAUCGGGAUCAUCCGAGCCGAGCCCCAGUGCCUCAGACCUCGACUUCGGACUCCUGGUCCCUUGCAUCAGCUGGAAUUCGGCUGCCUGUGAAAUUCCACGGUGCACGACUGUAGGGCCCUUAGCCAGCCCUGGUCAUUCAUUAUUUCAUUAUUCUUCUGUUCUCAUUGACAAAAGCGCAGCUAAAGAUCACUGAGCUUAGAAGCAGCCGACUUGUGAGGUUAAUAGACAAUCAAGAGUCCAGGAGGACUUUCAGUAGUUUUUUUGAGUAGGAAAAAAAAUAUAUUGUUUUUCAAUCAAGCACAUUAUUAGCGUGAUUAAAGUUUCAAUUAAGUAAUUAAGCUUUCUAAUCUAAAUCACUGCCCUGUCCUGCUCUGGAAGUGUCUCAAUCCAGCAGGUUUGAUCGGGAAUAGAUAAAUAUUACUUUAAAACAAUCUGUAAUUAAUGGGAACAAUUUGCAAUUAAUUAAAUUAGGAACAAAAUAUGUUCGACACCUCAGGGAUCAGAGUUCUCUUUUACAAACUCCUCGCUUAACUGAUCGAUGAGCCACAGGUAUUUAAAAACCGGACUGGGGCUGGAGAUGCUUGUUCGAGUCUGUGCACGAGGGAUGAAACACUGAAAGUUUCAGCAACACUAAAACCUGCAAGCACAGGUGGUGUAACAGUUUAUUCAAAGAUGAUAUCAAUUUUAAUUCAGAUCAGAGCUGGAGAACGAAACCGAGAGCUCUGCUCUGGAGGACUGGAGCUGCCCACCUGAAAGCAACAGAAGGAAAAGAGACACACAAGCACAAGAGGCUUCGGGUGUUCAAAGAGGUUUUAAAGCACUUUCCUCUUCUCAAAACGUGAAUUAUUUUAAAACGUGGAAGUCUUCCUCCAGGAAAAAGGGAACAGUAGAGCAGCGGUCAGCCACAGCUGCACUCGUGUCCAGCAGAAAUGCAUCAUUCCAGCUGCCGGACACAGCACAGCCCCUCGCUGUGGAGCGAUUCCGAGACCAGCAGAGUCGAGCCCCCCCUGAGCUUUCAGUAGCCGCAGUCCCGGUGGCCUUGCAGAGGAUCAAAGAAAGGGUACUGGUUUCUCAUCACAACCUUUUGUAGUUGUCAAUUCAUAACUUAGGAAAGUUUAGAGAUGAGACUAUUCCGGCCUGUCUGGCUAGUUAAAAGCGUACUGAUUCCUUCAUAACAGGACUGGGCUGCUUGUUACACACUCCUGACCCACUCGGGAUCCUUCGUUCUGAACCUCUUCCAGCGGGUAGCGAGUCUUUGUUGAUCGCUGUAAACUGAACUGUUGGUCCUAUUUAAAUGCAGAAUUCUGGUGAAUGAAGAAAAGGAACAGAGACUGAUCGACACACACUGGGCUUUUUUAACAAAACCUGAUAUCCAGCUGCAUCUAAAAAAAAAAAAAGGUCUUCUUAAUAAUUA
Non-coding RNA from Lepisosteus oculatus (spotted gar), 1887 nucleotides. The record is from RefSeq and is a predicted model, not a curated record. Lineage: Eukaryota; Metazoa; Chordata; Actinopteri; Semionotiformes; Lepisosteidae.